RNAcentral lists this ribosomal RNA (512 nucleotides) under uncultured bacterium. RNAcentral describes it as "partial 16S ribosomal RNA". It matches the Rfam family "Bacterial small subunit ribosomal RNA", at positions 28 to 507 of the family's 1533-position model. The record is from RNAcentral.
GAUGAACGCUGGCGGCGUGCCUAAUACAUGCAAGUCGAACGAAACUUCUUUAUCACCGAGUGCUUGCACUCACCGAUAAAGAGUUGAGUGGCGAACGGGUGAGUAACACGUGGGCAACCUGCCCAAAAGAGGGGGAUAACACUUGGAAACAGGUGCUAAUACCGCAUAACCAUAGUUACCGCAUGGUAACUAUGUAAAAGGUGGCUAUACUACCGCUUUUGGAUGGGUCCGCGGCGGAUUAGCUAGUUGGUAGGGUAAAGGCUUACCAAGGCAAUGAUGCGUAGCCGGAUUGAGAGGUUGAUCGGCCACACUGGGACUGAGACACGGCCCAGACUCCUACGGGAGGCAGCAGUAGGGAAUCUUCCACAAUGGGCGAAAGCCUGAUGGAGCAACGCCGCGUGGGUGAAGAAGGUCUUCGGAUCGUAAAACCCUGUUGUUAGAGAAGAAAGUGCGUGAGAGUAACUGUUCACGUUUCGACGGUAUCUAACCAGAAAGCCACUGCUAACUACGUG